Molecule: ribosomal RNA, 440 nt
Filed under: uncultured bacterium
Lineage: Bacteria
Description: partial 16S ribosomal RNA
Rfam family: Bacterial small subunit ribosomal RNA
Source: RNAcentral
CCUACGGGUGGCAGCAGUAGGGAAUUUUGCGCAAUGGGCGAAAGCCUGACGCAGCAACGCCGCGUGAUCGAGACGCCCUUCGGGGUGUAAAGCUCUUUCAGUGGGGACGAAACUUGACGGUACCUACCGAGGAAGCACCGGCUAACUCCGUGCCAGCAGCCGCGGUAAUACGGGGGGUGCAAGCGUUGUCCGGAAUCAUUGGGCGUAAAGAGCUCGUAGGCGGGACGUCAAGUCUGGUGUUAAAGGCGAAGGCUCAACUACAGUACGGCACUGGAGACUUGCGAGCUAGAGUGCGGUAGAGGUAGGGGGAAUUCCUGGUGUAGGGGUGAAAUGCGUAGAGAUCAGGAGGAACACCGAUGGCGAAGGCGAUUUACUAGACCGUAAUUGACGCUGAGGAGCGAAAGCGAGGGUAGCAAAUGGGAUUAGAUACCCGUGUAGUC